This 328-nucleotide ribosomal RNA is filed under the name uncultured Clostridiaceae bacterium. RNAcentral's name for it is "bacterial SSU rRNA". It matches the Rfam family "Bacterial small subunit ribosomal RNA", at positions 568 to 898 of the family's 1533-position model. Lineage: Bacteria; Bacillati; Bacillota; Clostridia; Eubacteriales; Clostridiaceae. The record is from RNAcentral.
UGCGUAGGCGGUUAUGCAAGUCAGAUGUGAAAUACCGAGGCUCAACUUCGGAACUGCAUUUGAAACUGUGUGACUAGAGUACAGGAGAGGUAAGUGGAAUUCCUAGUGUAGCGGUGAAAUGCGUAGAUAUUAGGAAGAACACCAGUGGCGAAGGCGACUUACUGGACUGAAACUGACGCUGAGGCACGAAAGCGUGGGGAGCAAACAGGAUUAGAUACCCUGGUAGUCCACGCUGUAAACGAUGAAUGCUAGGUGUCGGCUCGAGAGGGUCGGUGCCGCAGUUAACACAUUAAGCAUUCCACCUGGGGAGUACGAUCGCAAGAUUGAA